Non-coding RNA from Caerostris extrusa, 73 nucleotides. The record is from the annotation of a GenBank genome assembly. Lineage: Eukaryota; Metazoa; Arthropoda; Arachnida; Araneae; Araneidae.
UCCGGCAUGGUCUAGUGGCUGGGGAUACCUGGCUCUCACCCAGGAGGCCCGGGUUCAAUUCCCGGUGUCGGAA